RNAcentral lists this non-coding RNA (31 nucleotides) under Mus musculus (house mouse). The record is from RNAcentral. Lineage: Eukaryota; Metazoa; Chordata; Mammalia; Rodentia; Muridae.
UGCAUGCAUGUGUCUCAUGAGUUUAUUAAGA